AAAAAGUAAAGUUAUCGAAGAGAAGCAGAGAAAAGAAGGCAAAGCUGCUUUGCCAGAGGAAUCUUCUGAUGUUUCUCAUUCGGGUUCAUCUUUCCCUUGCAUGGAUAAACUUAGGGAAGAGCUCUCUUGCGCGAUUUGUCUUGAGGAUUUGCUUCGAACCGAGUACCACUCCUUGUGGCCACAGCUUUUGCAAGAAAUGCCUGCGAUCGGCUGCCGAUAAAUGUGGAAAGCGAUGCCCAAAAUGCAGGCAGCUAAUUAGCAAUGGGUGAUCUUGCACAGUGAAGAUAGUUCUUUGGAACACGAUACAACUACUGUUUCCAAAAGAAGUUGAAGCAAGAAAGGCAUCAGGAAUGCUGAAUAGCCAUGUAGCUGAGCGCCAGAGCCCUGAAGAGGCAAGUCGAAAUAUCCCAGUUCCCAGAAGAAUAAGAACAGUAGUUAGAAGAAGAGAAACGUCUACUCAGGUGGAGGAGGAAGAGGAGACAUUGGGUUCAAGUUGGAGGAGAAGAAGAGGAGUGAGUAGUCAAGAGCAGAGUGUGAGAAGAGGAAGACGAGUCCCCAGUCAAGAGGAAGAUGCCGCAUUGGAUUUUAGAUUGCAGAGGGAAGAAUUCAUGGGGGCUCUUAGGGGGGGAGCUCAUCAUGUGCAACCAAGGACAAGGAGCUCUUUUUCCUCGGCCAGGGAAGCCUUGAGAGCCAUGGCAUCCAGAGCCACUGACCUUCACAUGAGAGGCCGCCCUAUAUA
Long non-coding RNA from Nelumbo nucifera (sacred lotus), 739 nucleotides. RefSeq lists it as uncharacterized. Lineage: Eukaryota; Viridiplantae; Streptophyta; Magnoliopsida; Proteales; Nelumbonaceae. The record is from RefSeq and is a predicted model, not a curated record.